CAAGAAUCUACAGGUCGAGCAAGUCUCGUAAAUUUCACGAUUGCGAGCCACGCUUCACGCAACCGUGUUUGCGUACUUGUGUUUCGAGUUGCGUGGUCUUGCGGAGUUACAUUUACCAAAUUUAAAUCCGUUCCAACAUGCUGUCAAAAUUAAAUCAAUAUGUCAAUAUGGCUACUGGGUGUAAAAGAUAAAUCUUAUUCUAUCUGUUCUUAAUGAGUUUUUGAUAAUUUUAGUUGUAUUUCUUUGUAAUUUUGUGUUGUACAAAGAUUAAUUUAACAUUUUCUCUGGAAGUAUUAAUUUAGAAAGAUAAUUAUGCUUCAUUGGUGUUGUGUUUUGAAGUGUGAAAUGCAAAGUAAUUGUGAUAAAGUUCACUUUUAAACUGAACUAAAUAAGGUAUCUGAGAGACAACAAUGGUUAAAUGCAAUACAAUGUACAGGUUUUACUAGCGAAAUGAAAAUUUUCCUGUCCUGUCUGCUGUAAUCAUUUUAUAUCUGGAAAACCAGCCGACUUAAUCGAUAAUAACAAUCUCCAGAUUGGGUUCCUUCAAUAAAUAUGGGCUAUAAACACAAUGAAAUAAGUUCCCCAAAAUCUAAAAUGGAGUGGUAUCAAAGGAGAAUUAAAGGAAAAAAUAUUCAUAUUGAAAUUAUUUAUAAGGCACUGGACUGUCUUAAAUUCUACAAUAAUACUAGAAUCAGCUGAGAGAAGUGGUCUACAAAAAACCAGGAAGGAAACGGAAUAUGUGGCUACGAAAGGCAAAAGAAAGGUUUACAAAGCAAAUGUGACACAUUUUUUUGAAAUAUUUAGGAAUAUCAGUAAAUUGCAUUAAAAAAAUGUAUGAAAA
Molecule: long non-coding RNA, 841 nt
Organism: Diabrotica virgifera virgifera (western corn rootworm)
Lineage: Eukaryota; Metazoa; Arthropoda; Insecta; Coleoptera; Chrysomelidae
Exons: 3
Source: RefSeq, a predicted model, not a curated record